This 74-nucleotide transfer RNA is filed under the name Candidatus Methanoliparum thermophilum. RNAcentral describes it as "tRNA-Gln". It matches the Rfam family "tRNA". From Rfam's summary of the family: Transfer RNA (tRNA) molecules are approximately 80 nucleotides in length. Their secondary structure includes four short double-helical elements and three loops (D, anti-codon, and T loops). Lineage: Archaea; Methanobacteriati; Methanobacteriota; Candidatus Methanoliparia; Candidatus Methanoliparales; Candidatus Methanoliparaceae. The record is from RNAcentral.
AGCCCGGUAGUGUAGCUGGUCAAUCAUGGAAGGCUCUGGACCUUUCGACGGCGGUUCGAAUCCGCCCCGGGCUA